GGAUGGGCCGGCACCGCGCCGCGUCCCGGGAGCGUUCCUUACACAGCUCCGGGGUCGACCUGAAACAAUAGGAUCGGGGCCGGGAGGUCGGGAAUGGGAUCGGGGGCGCGGGGUUGUGGGGUUGGGAUUGGUGGGACUGAGGGGAUUGGGAUCACCAAUGGGACUGGGAUGGUCAAUAGGGUUGGUUGGGUGCUAUGGGGUCAGGAAUGGUGGGUAUGGGAUCAUCAAUGGGACUGGGGUGGGUGAUGGGGUUGGUUGGGUGCUAUGGGGUCAGGACUGCUGGGACUGGGGGGAUUGGGAUCACCGAUGGGAUCAGUUGGGCGCUGUGGGGUUGGGACUGGGGGCACUGGGAUGGUCAUUGGGGUCCAUUGGGUGCUAUGGGGUCAGGACUGGUGGGAUUGGGAUCACCAAUGGGACUGGGGGGACUGGGGUGGGUGAUGGGGUCCAUUGGGUGCUAUGGGGUCAAGACUGCGGGGACUGGGGGGACUGGGAUGGUGAAUAGGGUCGGUUGGGUGCUAUGGGGUCAGGACUGGUGGGACUGGGAUCACCAAUGGGACUGGGGUGGGUGAUGGGGUCAGUUGGGGGCUAUGGGGUCAGGACUGGGGGCACUGGGAUGGUUAUUGGGGUCCAUUGGGUGCUAUGGGGUCGGGACUGGGGGCACUGGGAUCAGCAAUGGGGUCGGUUGGGUGCUGUGGGGUCAGGACUGGUGGGACUGGGAUGGUCAAUGGGGUCAGUUGGGGGCUAUGGGGUCAGGACCGGUGGGACUGGGGGCACUGGGAUGGUCACUGGGGUCCUUUGGGUGCUAUGGGGUUGGGACUGGGGGAACUGGGGGCACUGCGAUGGUCAGCGGGGUCCUUUGGGUGCUAUGGGGUCGGGACUGGGGGCACUGGGAUCAGCAAUGGGAUCAGUUCGGUGCUGUGGGGUCGGGACUGGUGGGACUGGGGGGACUGGGAUGGUCAGUGGGGUGAGCUGGGUGCUGUGGGGUCGGGACUGGGGGCACUGGGUGGGUGUGCAAGGGUGCGAGGGGUUGUGUGGCAUCACGUGGGUGUGCACGAGUGUGCAAAUGCGUGUGAUCCCGUGCCUGACACGUGGGGGGUUGUUGUGCAAAGGGCUGCGGUUGUGUGCGAGCGUGCGAGCGUGCACAGAUCGCUCUGUUUGCACACUUAUGUGGGUGUGCACGAGGGGGUGGGCGUGCACAAGGAGAUGAGUGUGCAAUGUGGGGGUGCACGAGUGUGCAAGAACGCAUGAAGCCGUGUGCUUGUGCACACUGUGAGGGAUGUGGGUGUGAGAAGAGCUGUGCGUGUGCACUGUAGCACAUGGGUGUGCAAGCAUGCAUGAGCGCCUGCCCUCGUGCAACAUAUGUUGAAGCACGUGGGUGUGCAACGGGUGUGCAGGAUUGCACAAGCGCACAGAAACACGCGCGUGUGGGCGGGUGAGGGGCGUGCAAGGGGGUGGGGGUGCACAGAUGUGCAGAAGAGGGGAUGUGAGUGUGCAAGAGCGCACGAAGCCGAGUGCUUGUGCACACUGGGAUGCAACACACAGGCGUGCAAAGGGGUGUGGGUGUGCACAACAGUGCGGCUGUAGACACGUGGGGGGGUGAGUGUGCAAGCAUGCGUGGCAUUGAGACCCUGUGUGCACGUGGGUGCGAGCAGGGCUGCGCUACAGCACGCGUGUGAGCACACAGGCGUGCAAGCACGUGCGAGCGUGUGACUGCGUGCAUCUCCUUACGGAAUACACACGAGCGUGCAAAGGGCGGCCGAGCUUUGGGGGUGCGCACAAGCUAACCUGGGUGGGGUGGGACUGGGAUGGUCAAUGGGGUCAGUUGGGGGCUAUGGGGUCAGGACCGGUGGGACUGGGGGCACUGGGAUGGUCAAUAGGGUCCUUUGGGUGCUAUGGGGUUGGGACUGGGGGAACUGGGGGCACUGCGAUGGUCAGCGGGGUCCUUUGGGUGCUAUGGGGUCAGGACUGGGGGAACUGGGGGGACUGGGAUGGUCAAUAGGGUCCUUUGGGCGCUAUGGGGUCAGGUGUGGUGGGAUUGGGAUCACCAAUGGGACUGAGGGGACUGGGAUGGGCGAUGGGGUCCAUUGGGUGCUAUGGGGUUGGGACUGGUGGGAUUGGGAUCACCAAUGGGAUCAGUUGGGUGCUAUGGGGUCGGGACUGGGGGAACUGGGGGCACUGGGAUGGUGAAUGGGGUGAGAUGGGUGCUG
Molecule: long non-coding RNA, 2207 nt
Organism: Chrysolophus pictus (golden pheasant)
Lineage: Eukaryota; Metazoa; Chordata; Aves; Galliformes; Phasianidae
Source: Ensembl